GCUAUAUGAGCUUCCAAAAUCUACAUUUAUGCCCCGCAGCAUCUGCUCGAUUAAGGUGCCCUUUUUUUUUACACGAAAUUCAAUUAUAUUAAUCAAGAGUCAAGAUUAUUACAAUCAACUUUUACCUAUUGUUGUUGCUGAAUCGUAAUAAAAUGGAUAGGAUUUCGGAGAACUGAGGACGCUUUGAUGGGCAAUUGUUCCAGCACUUGGUCAUCAGAGAUUUUAAGAUUUGUGGGCAGUCCUUAGGAAUAUCAGGUCUCAGGCCACAAGCAGCUAUUCCAACUGCUGCCUGCACAGGCGAACAUGCGGCAUAGG
Molecule: long non-coding RNA, 315 nt
Filed under: Ricinus communis (castor bean)
Lineage: Eukaryota; Viridiplantae; Streptophyta; Magnoliopsida; Malpighiales; Euphorbiaceae
Description: long non-coding RNA (RCOM_LNC002059)
Source: RNAcentral